RNAcentral lists this ribosomal RNA (499 nucleotides) under uncultured bacterium. RNAcentral's name for it is "partial 16S ribosomal RNA". It matches the Rfam family "Bacterial small subunit ribosomal RNA", at positions 28 to 507 of the family's 1533-position model. The record is from RNAcentral.
GACGAACGCUGGCGGCGUGCUUAACACAUGCAAGUCGAACGGGCCCGCUCUCUUUUUUGGGGGUGGGUUGAGUGGCGAACGGGUGAGUAUCACGUGAGUAACCUGCCCCCUGCUCCUGGAUAACUGCUUGAAAGGGCGGCUAAUACGGGGUGUGCCGGCUGGUCCGCAUGGGCCUGGUCGGGAUAGUUUCAUCUUCGGGUGUUUCGGUGGGGGAUGGGCUCGCGGCCUAUCAGCUUGUUGGUGGGGUGAUGGCCCACCAAGGCGGUGACGGGUAGCCGGCCUGAGAGGGUGGGCGGCCACACUGGGACUGAGACACGGCCCAGACUCCGGCGGGAGGCAGCAGUGGGGGGUAUUGCACAAUGGGCGGAAGCCUGAUGCAGCGACGUCGCGUGAGGGAUGGAGGCCUUCGGGUUGUGAACCUCUUUCUCCGGUGGUGAAGGCCCUGUCCGUUGCGGCGGGGUUGACGGUAGCCGGGUAUGAAGCGCCGGCUAACUACGUG